This 253-nucleotide ribosomal RNA is filed under the name uncultured bacterium. Its description in RNAcentral is "partial 16S ribosomal RNA". It matches the Rfam family "Bacterial small subunit ribosomal RNA", at positions 524 to 776 of the family's 1533-position model. The record is from RNAcentral.
UACGGGGGGGGCAAGCGUUGUUCGGAAUUACUGGGCGUAAAGGGCGCGUAGGCGGCCUACUAAGUCGAACGUGAAAUCCCCGGGCUCAACCCGGGAACUGCGUCCGAGACUGAAAGGCUUGAAUCCGGGAGAGGGAUGUGGAAUUCCAGGUGUAGCGGUGAAAUGCGUAGAUAUCUGGAGGAACAUCGGUGGCGAAGGCGGCAUCCUGGACCGGUAUUGACGCUGAGGCGCGAAAGCCAGGGGAGCAAACGGG